CGCCCAGACUCCUACGGGAGGCAGCAGUGAGGAAUAUUGGUCAAUGGGCUAAGGCCUGAACCAGCCAAGUCGCGUGAGGGAAGACGGUCCUAUGGAUUGUAAACCUCUUUUGUCGGGGAGCAACGAGGCCACGUGUGGCCGAAGUGAGAGUACCCGAAGAAAAAGCAUCGGCUAACUCCGUGCCAGCAGCCGCGGUAAUACGGGGGAUGCAAGCGUUAUCCGGAUUUAUUGGGUUUAAAGGGUGCGUAGGCUGUGAGGUAAGUCAGCGGUGAAAUGCCCCCGCUCAACGGGGUGAAGUGCCAUUGAUACUGCCUUGCUGGAAUGCGGAUGCCGUGGGAGGAAUGUGUGGUGUAGCGGUGAAAUGCAUAGAUAUCACACAGAACACCGAUUGCGAAGGCAUCUCACGAAUCCGCGAUUGACGCUGAUGCACGAAAGCGUGGGUAUCAAACAGGAUUAGAUACCCGUGUAA
Molecule: ribosomal RNA, 469 nt
Filed under: uncultured bacterium
Lineage: Bacteria
Description: bacterial SSU rRNA
Rfam family: Bacterial small subunit ribosomal RNA
Source: RNAcentral